YCGCCCGCCGCGCGCGGCGGGCGGGGCGGGGGCACGGGGGGCCUACGGGAGGCAGCAGUAAGGAAUAUUGGUCAAUGGACGGAAGUCUGAACCAGCCAUGCCGCGUGCAGGAAGACGGCCCUACGGGUUGUAAACUGCUUUUGUACGGGAAUAAACCUACUUACGUGUAAGUAGCUGAAUGUACGUAAGAUUAAGUCMUCCCCCC
This 205-nucleotide ribosomal RNA is filed under the name uncultured bacterium. RNAcentral's name for it is "partial 16S ribosomal RNA". It matches the Rfam family "Bacterial small subunit ribosomal RNA", at positions 284 to 500 of the family's 1533-position model. The record is from RNAcentral.